RNAcentral lists this ribosomal RNA (459 nucleotides) under uncultured bacterium. RNAcentral's name for it is "partial 16S ribosomal RNA". It matches the Rfam family "Bacterial small subunit ribosomal RNA", at positions 338 to 795 of the family's 1533-position model. The record is from RNAcentral.
CCUACGGGAGGCAGCAGUGAGGAAUAUUGGUCAAUGGGCGGGAGCCUGAACCAGCCAAGCCGCGUGAAGGAAGAAGGCGCCAGGCGUCGUAAACUUCUUUUGUCGGGGAACAAAGGGCGCCACGCGUGGCGUUGUGAGUGUACCCGAAGAAAAAGCAUCGGCUAACUCCGUGCCAGCAGCCGCGGUAAUACGGGGGAUGCGAGGGUUAUCCGGAUUGAUGGGGUUUAAGGGGUGCGUAGGCGGUCCGGAAAGUCAGCGGGAAAAGCCCGGGGCUGAGCCCCGGCGAGCCGAUGAAACUGUCGGACUAGAGACGGCGAGAAGUACGCGGAAUGCGCGGUGUAGCGGUGAAAUGCAUAGAUAUCGCGCAGAACUCCGAUGGCGAAGGCAGCGUACCGGCGCCGGACUGACGCUGAGGCACGAAAGCGUGGGUAGCGAACAGGAUUAGAUACCCUAGUAGUC